Molecule: long non-coding RNA, 2372 nt
Filed under: Nicotiana tabacum (common tobacco)
Lineage: Eukaryota; Viridiplantae; Streptophyta; Magnoliopsida; Solanales; Solanaceae
Description: long non-coding RNA (NTAB_LNC000747)
Source: RNAcentral
CCCUAAAAAGUGAUUCCCGUCUAUUUAUAGUGGCCCAAAAUUCGCUGACAAAAAUGCCCUUUGGGAGGUUCGGCGACCGCACAAUUCCAUGUGUGGUCCGCACUUUACUUGGUUCUGCAGGUUGAGGAAUUCGGUAGCUGCACAAUUUGGUCUGCGGCUGCACUUCAGCUUCUGCGGCCGCACUUUUCCUUCUGCGGCUGCACUUUUGGCAGGACUUCACUCUUGGUCAUUUUGCACACUCUCUGAACUUUUUGAAUUCUUGUCACUGCGACCAUGUUUUGCAGCCGCACUUUUACGACCCAAAAUCCAUUAAAGGCCGUGAUGGCGCCGGACACCGCUGUCAGGGAAGCCAAAAAUAAAUACUUAAUUUGGUUCUCAUUUUAAAUAUUCUUUUUUGAAAAUCACAUUUCCUUCAAUUAAAUAGUAAAAGAUGAAAUUUACAAAAUAAAUAAUAAUAUUUUUUAACAAUUUCAAUACAGGACAACCCAUAACACCCAAAAACCCGGUGUCACAAGUGCAUGAGCCUCAACUAGGAAUGUAAAAUAAAAUACAACAUCUGUCCGGAAUACAAAUUCGGACAGGAGAAAUAAAAAUACUCUGAAGGAGACUCCGCUGGCUGCAGACUCAUAACGUUGGAUGCAGCUCACCUAAUUCCCCGCAAUAACAGCGCCUCUGUGCCCACAAGACCUCUAGACAUAUUUGCACCUGCAUAAAAAGUGCAGCAAAUGUAGUAUGAGUACGUAAAUCAACGCGUACCCAAUAAGUAUCCUGCCUAACUUCGAAGAAGUAGUGAUGAGGUGUCGACUUCGACACUUACUAUGGGCUAUAAAUAAAACGUCAAUGAUAUAAUUAAGCAUGGAUUACGUAGAACGGAUGUAAGAUCAAUAUCAUAAAAUAAGUAAAUAAUUUUUUUUGUUCAUAAGAAAUUUCCAAAUUUAUUUUCGUCAUUUAACAUUUUUUGGACCUCUGGCCAAUGAAAACAAUAUCAAUUAUUAUCAAUUUCAAAGAUAUAUCAUGCGCAAAUCAUGCCAAGGUCGUACGGUCCGUUCCAACAUAAAUAUUUAAAUCGUACACUACCGAGGGUCGAACAGCGCGAACCAUAGAUGCAUCUAUUUAACCUGCCGAGGCGUUCGGCCCAAUCCACAAAAGAGAAAAUACAAUUUAAAACAACCAAAUUCAAGAUUUAUUAAGGCAACUAUUCAAGAAAUACAAAUUCUCCUUUACGGUCAAGAAGAAUGGAGUUUAACCUUUUAAAGUCCCUUUACCAAGUUUCGAUAUGAUUUAAGCAAUUUAGAUUAACAAGUAGGAUGCAAGUAUCACAAGUACGACAUGAUAUGGGUCCUAGACUACCCAGACAUAAGCAUAUUAGUAGCUACGCACGGACUAUCGUCACCUCGUGCGUACGUAGCCCCCACAAAUAGAAGUACAUAUUGAAUUAUUUCACCUAUGGAGUUAAUUCCCUCUUACAAGGUUAGAAAGGAGACUUACCUCGCUCCGAAGUUCCACAGCCGGCUCCCAAGGCUUUCCAACAACUCAAACCAAUGCCCAUCGCUUUGCGACCACGCCUCCGCUUUUGCGGAACUCACCGAAACACAAGGCCUCGCACCUGCGGAAAGACCCCCGCUUCUGCGACAUCGCAGGUGCGAGCUUCCUUUUGCUCCUGCGCCUUCUUCCGCUUCUGCGCCCCACGCUUCGCUUCUGCGCUUGCGCAUAUGCGUCCUAAACUCCACACCUGCGGUCCUUCCCCUAGCUGACUUGCUCCGCUUCUGCGACCCCUGGGCCACUUCUGCGGCCCCGCACCUGCGGCCAAAACCUCGCAGGUGCGGUUACACCAGGUGACAGCAACUUCAGCAUUUCAUAAGUCCAAAUUUGAUCCGUUAACCAUCCGGAAUCCACCCGAGGCCCCCGGGACCUUAACCAACUAUACCAACACAUCCCAAAACACAUUACAAACUUAGUAGAUGCCUCAAAUCACGCCAAACAAUAUCGAAACUAUGAAUCACCCUCCAACUCAAACCUAAUGAACUUUGAAGCUUCAAACUUCUACCUUCGAUGCCGAAACCUAUCAAAUCACGUCCGAUUGACCUCAAAUUUUGUACACAAGUCAUAAUUGACAUUACAGACCUACUCCAACUUUCGGAAUCAAAAUCUGACCGCGAUAUCAAAAAGUCCACUCCCGGACAAACUCUCCAAAAACCUUCAAAUUUCUAGCUUUCGCCAAAUGACCCUGAAAUGACCUACGGACCUCCAAAUCCACUUCCGGACAUAACGCCCAAGUCCAAAAUCAUCAUAUGAACCUGUCGGAACCCUCAAAUCCCGAUUCUGAGGUCAUUUACUCAAAAAUCACACCUAAGUCAAUUUCUCCAACUUAA